AAGCUUCUAGGAAAUUUCCUCGAUUCCCUCCCUCUCUUAAAAGUCCCAUUCACUACUGUAUAUAAAAAGAUCUCCGAAAUCUCUCCCUCAUAAAUAAUUUGCAAAACCCCACUUCUGCACUACACGAACCCUAAACAAUGAGUUCUUCUACGCAACAAUUUGCAGCGGUAGGCGGCAGAGAAACUUCAUCUGAUAUCAAUCAACCAAGUACAUCUGAUCAUCGUUCAAUGAAGAUCCGGAGGCUUGAAUCCGGCAGAGAAAUUGAUAAGUUUGGGAUCAAGGAAUUUCUUUUUGUGUUUGAAACCGACGGUGAUAGUAAAGCCCAUCUCCUGCUCCAAUGAAGCUAACCAGAAGGAAGCAAACAAGUCAUCGUAUUUUAUGUGGACUAGAUUCAUGGAUUUCCUACUGUAGACUUUUCUUCUGUUUUUGAGUUAUUUUCUGUUUAUGGGGGGAGGGACAUGUCUGUUGUAUAUCGCUGACUGCAAAUGUAAAUUAAUAGUGGAUUAGCAAGUGUCAUAGAAUAUGUAGAGUUGAUGGGAUCUCAGUUUUAGUCUCUUCGAUUGGUGGUCUACAAGCUAUCAUGAUAUUUGGCUAAUAUAACAUUUUGGAAUGGGUGCCAACAUUCGAUACCAAA
Molecule: long non-coding RNA, 634 nt
Organism: Papaver somniferum (opium poppy)
Lineage: Eukaryota; Viridiplantae; Streptophyta; Magnoliopsida; Ranunculales; Papaveraceae
Exons: 2
Source: RefSeq, a predicted model, not a curated record